ACCUGAGAAUGAGAUGUGCUGU
This 22-nucleotide microRNA is filed under the name Gallus gallus (chicken). RNAcentral describes it as "gga-miR-6673-3p". Lineage: Eukaryota; Metazoa; Chordata; Aves; Galliformes; Phasianidae. The record is from miRBase by way of RNAcentral.